UGGAUUCGCUAGUAAUCGCGCAUCAGCCACGGCGCGGUGAAUACGUUCCCGGGCCCUUGUACACACCGCCCGUCAAGCCAUGGAAGCCGGGAGUGCCUGAAGUGCGUGAGCGCAAGCAGCGCCCUAAGGUAAAACCGGUGACUGGGGCUAAGUCGUAACAAGGUAUC
RNAcentral lists this ribosomal RNA (167 nucleotides) under uncultured bacterium. RNAcentral describes it as "partial 16S ribosomal RNA". It matches the Rfam family "Bacterial small subunit ribosomal RNA", at positions 1327 to 1500 of the family's 1533-position model. The record is from RNAcentral.